Molecule: long non-coding RNA, 775 nt
Organism: Dermacentor albipictus
Lineage: Eukaryota; Metazoa; Arthropoda; Arachnida; Ixodida; Ixodidae
Source: RefSeq, a predicted model, not a curated record
UCCUCCUCUCCGUCGCUGUAUACGGCGUCUUGUGUAUCCCCUGUGGCGAGCACCUGGCAGACGCCGCCGGUGACUGGUAUUGCAUCCCUACCGACAAAAGAAGUAAACCUUCCGGCUUCUUGGGGUUGGAACAGAUUUCAACAAAACAAGGCAACUCAUCCGCACGUGGCCGACCGGAGAGACAAACCUGUUCAGCACGUAUCAAUGGUCAAUGUUAUGUUCGCUCAGCUUGGCUCCGUGCGAGGCAAUGUUUUUUUUUUUCGCACAGAGGGUAGCAUUCCUCUUACUGUCAAACAGAACCGGUCUCCUGCAUGGCAAUGCGACGCACUGAUAAGGCUAUGAUGCCUAUAAGAGGCGCUAGUUUACAAGCCGCUUCAAGAAACUCGCAGACGAGCCCAGCCGACGCAAAAGGACCGAGCCACAGCAAGCCGCACCGACAUGAACUGCAACGCCGCAACAUCCCUGACCAUUCUGCUGCUCCUGUGCGCGGUGUCCGCACCGGUGCUGGGCCGAUGCCCUCCCACGGCGGGACAGGGUAGCACCUGCACCGUCUCCAGGUGCACUCCGAGGCAGUGCGCCCUCAGGGGUCUUGAGUGCUGUCCCAAGCCCUGCGGAGGGACCUGGUGUGUCAGAGGAGUACGAGGCUAGUUCAAGUUCGAGAAUAUGAUCCACUUCGUGCUUCUGGAGGUGGCACGCUGUCCUCCCUGAAGAAAGGUGUCGAGUUGGCUGUGACCCCGCUGUUCGGUUUAAUAAAAGACUCCCAAUUUCUGCACAA